GGGAAUCUUCCACAAUGGACGAAAGUCUGAUGGAGCAACGCCGCGUGAGUGAAGAAGGUUUUCGGAUCGUAAAACUCCGUUGUAAGGGAAGAACACGUACGAGAGUAACUGCCCGUACCUUGACGGUACCUUAUUAGAAAGCCACGGCUAACUACGUGCCCGCAGCCGCGGUAAUACGCAGGUGGCAAGCGUUGUCCGGAAUUAUUGGGCGUAAAGCGCGCGCAGGCGGUUCGUUAAGUCUGAUGUGAAAGCCCACGGCUCAACCGUGGAGGGUCAUUGGAAACUGGAGAACUUGAGUACAGAAGAGGAAAGCGGAAUUCCACGUGUAGCGGUGAAAUGCGUAGAGAUGUGGAGGAACACCAGUGGCGAAGGCGGCUUUCUGGUCUGUAACUGACGCUGAGGCGCGAAAGCGUGGGGAGCAAAC
This 424-nucleotide ribosomal RNA is filed under the name uncultured bacterium. Its description in RNAcentral is "bacterial SSU rRNA". It matches the Rfam family "Bacterial small subunit ribosomal RNA", at positions 357 to 773 of the family's 1533-position model. The record is from RNAcentral.